AACGCGAAGAACCUUACCAGGUCUUGACAUACUCAUAAAGGCUCCAGAGAUGGAGAGAUAGCUAUAUGAGAUACAGGUGGUGCAUGGUUGUCGUCAGCUCGUGUCGUGAGAUGUUGGGUUAAGUCCCGCAACGAGCGCAACCCUUAUCGUUAGUUACCAUCAUUAAGUUGGGGACUCUAGCGAGACUGCCAGUGACAAGCUGGAGGAAGGCGGGGAUGACGUCAAAUCAUCAUGCCCCUUAUGACCUGGGCUACACACGUGCUACAAUGGAUGGUGCAGAGGGAAGCGAAGCCGCGAGGUGAAGCAAAACCCAUAAAACCAUUCUCAGUUCGGAUUGUAGUCUGCAACUCGACU
Molecule: ribosomal RNA, 354 nt
Filed under: bacterium enrichment culture DGGE gel band G6
Lineage: Bacteria
Description: bacterial SSU rRNA
Rfam family: Bacterial small subunit ribosomal RNA
Source: RNAcentral